RNAcentral lists this unclassified non-coding RNA (253 nucleotides) under uncultured Cyclobacteriaceae bacterium. RNAcentral's name for it is "contains 16S-23S intergenic spacer region". It matches the Rfam family "Bacterial small subunit ribosomal RNA", at positions 524 to 776 of the family's 1533-position model. Lineage: Bacteria; Pseudomonadati; Bacteroidota; Cytophagia; Cytophagales; Cyclobacteriaceae. The record is from RNAcentral.
UACGGAGGGUGCAAGCGUUGUCUGGAUUUAUUGGGUUUAAAGGGUGCGUAGGCGGGUCUUUAAGUCCGUGGUGAAAGCCCAUCGCUUAACGAUGGAACUGCCAUUGAUACUGGGGACCUUGAAUUCAGUAGAGGUAGGCGGAAUUGGUGGUGUAGCGGUGAAAUGCAUAGAUACCAUCAGGAACACCGAUUGCGAAGGCAGCUUACUGGACUUGAACUGACGCUGAGGCACGAAAGCGUGGGGAGCGAACAGG